Molecule: transfer RNA, 127 nt
Filed under: Metarhizium acridum CQMa 102
Lineage: Eukaryota; Fungi; Ascomycota; Sordariomycetes; Hypocreales; Clavicipitaceae
Description: tRNA-Arg (TCT) (tRNA-Arg-TCT-1-1)
Rfam family: tRNA
About the family: Transfer RNA (tRNA) molecules are approximately 80 nucleotides in length. Their secondary structure includes four short double-helical elements and three loops (D, anti-codon, and T loops).
Source: Rfam by way of RNAcentral
GCCCCCGUGGCCUAAUGGCUAAGGCGUGAGACUUCUAAUCUCAAGAUUGGUAAGUGAUCCUGUUUCAACAGAAAAAGCGUAAAUUAUGCUAACUAGAAUAAAGCGGGUUCGAGUCCCGCCGGGGGUU